This is a long non-coding RNA of Oncorhynchus keta (chum salmon), 425 nucleotides long. RefSeq lists it as uncharacterized. The transcript is spliced from 3 exons. Lineage: Eukaryota; Metazoa; Chordata; Actinopteri; Salmoniformes; Salmonidae. The record is from RefSeq and is a predicted model, not a curated record.
UUGAAUUGCAUUGGGAAAGACUGCGCACAGCCACGAGCAAGAACUGACUCUUGAACAAGACAAUCGAUAUGGCUUUACGAAAACUGAUUUUCCGCGUCUAUGCAUUGAACAGCACACCUCAUUCUGUAAAGGUUUUGAAUACUCAUAUGUCUGCCUUUAGUGUAUUGAGUCCUAACGCCGACUUGAGAGUAAAACAUGACCGAUACAACCUCUGCUUUUCUAUCAACCUGGACGGCGAAGGACAUCAGGAUAGCGCGCACGAGCAAGAAGGAGGUAGAUCUACUGUCAACUUAUGUACCCGAGUCUUUCAGGGGCAAAGGUGUUGCAGCUCUUCUGUCAAAGGCUGCCAUGGAUUUUCUGGUGGAAGAAAACCUCAAGGCCCAUAUAUCUUGUUGUUAUAUUAAGAAAUAUGUUGAGGAAAGCCC